Molecule: small nuclear RNA, 101 nt
Filed under: Myotis brandtii (Brandt's bat)
Lineage: Eukaryota; Metazoa; Chordata; Mammalia; Chiroptera; Vespertilionidae
Source: RNAcentral
GUGCUCGCUUCGGCAGCACAUAUACUAAAACAAUACAGAGAAGAUUAGCAUGGCCCCUGCACAAAGAUGACAUGCAAAUUCAUGAAGCAUUCCAUAUUAAA